RNAcentral lists this unclassified non-coding RNA (333 nucleotides) under Zea mays. RNAcentral describes it as "misc RNA Zm00001eb148510". The record is from RNAcentral. Lineage: Eukaryota; Viridiplantae; Streptophyta; Magnoliopsida; Poales; Poaceae.
GAAGAUCCUGGGCGCGCGCGAGGAUUUUUAUUCUCGAAGUUGAGCGGCGGCUGAGAGGAUUGGAUCGCGCGAGGGCAAAAAUCAGCCGGCGAGGAAGACAGGCUAAGGGCGGCUGGAGAUUUUUUUUGCUCCAUCGACGACGGCGCGGGGAGAUAAGAACCUGCAUCCGACUUCAAAAAAAAAAUCUCACGGAGAUGAGGAUGAAAGAAAUGGUGUCAGGAAUCCAGCGCCUGCGCGUCGAGCGAAGUGCAGCAGCCAGGCGUGUGGGUACGGUUUGGAGGAGAAAAAAUAAUGGAGAUGGGGAUAGAAAAAGUAACGGACCCUGUGUAAACA